Molecule: ribosomal RNA, 405 nt
Filed under: uncultured bacterium
Lineage: Bacteria
Description: partial 16S ribosomal RNA
Rfam family: Bacterial small subunit ribosomal RNA
Source: RNAcentral
AUUGAACGCUGUCGGCAGGCCUAACACAUGCAAGUCGCGCGAGCGGCGGACGGGUGAGUAAUUUCUGGGAAACUGCCUGAUGGAGGGGGAUAACUACUGGAAACGGUAGCUAAUACCGCAUACCAUCAGAUGUGCCCAGAUGGGAUUAGCUAGUAGGUGGUGUAACGGCUCACCUAGGCGCCGAUCCCUAGCUGGUCUGAGAGGAUGACCAGCAACACUGGAACUGAGACACGUUCCAGACUCCUACUGGAGGCAGCAGUGGGGAAUAUGGCACAAUGGGCGCAAGCCGUAUGCAGCAAUGCCGCGUGUGUGAAGAAGGCUGUCGGGUUGUAAAGCACUUUCAGCGGGGAGGCGUUACCCGCAGAAGAAGCACCGGCUAACUCCGUGCCAGCAGCCGCGGUAAAC